UACGUAGGGUCCGAGCGUUAAUCGGAAUUACUGGGCUUAGAGCGUGCGCAGGCGGUUUUGUAAGCCAGAUGUGAAAUCCCCGGGCUCAACCUGGGAACUGCAUUUGGGACUGCAAGGCUAGAGUACGGCAGAGGGGGGUAGAAUUCCUGGUGUAGCAGUGAAAUGCGUAGAUAUCAGGAGGAAUACCGAUGGCGAAGGCAGCCCCCUGGGUCGAUACUGACGCUCAUGCACGAAAGCGUGGGGAGCAAACAGG
This 253-nucleotide ribosomal RNA is filed under the name uncultured bacterium. Its description in RNAcentral is "partial 16S ribosomal RNA". It matches the Rfam family "Bacterial small subunit ribosomal RNA", at positions 524 to 776 of the family's 1533-position model. The record is from RNAcentral.